RNAcentral lists this unclassified non-coding RNA (274 nucleotides) under Hevea brasiliensis (rubber tree). Lineage: Eukaryota; Viridiplantae; Streptophyta; Magnoliopsida; Malpighiales; Euphorbiaceae. The record is from RNAcentral.
CCAUUUCAACUCCUGGUUUUAUCUUGACCAACUUGAUCCCUUUUUAUCUCAGAUCAUUUUUAGCUAUAGAUUACACUGCUUCAGCCAUAAGACCGCAAAGACCAAGAACUAGCUACUCAAUCCAAAAGGGAAGAGUUGAUAGACCUUCAAAAUGGUAAUGGUGAAUGCAAGACUCUUGAAAAUAUUGAGGGCCAUAAUAUUUUUUAGGGACCACAAGAAUCAAUCAAGAUUACUGCAAGGGAAAGCUUGAGCUCUGAUCAUCACUAGCUUUCAU